AACGAACGCUGGCGGCAUGCCUAACACAUGCAAGUCGAACGAGACCUUCGGGUCUGGUGGCGCACGGGUGCGUAACGCGUGGGAACCUGCCCUUAGGUUCGGAAUAACUCCCCGAAAGGGGUGCUAAUCCCGGAUAAUGUCUUCGGACCAAAGAUUUAUCGCCUUUGGAUGGGCCCGCGUUGGAUUAGCUAGUUGGUAGGGUAAAAGCCUACCAAGGCGACGAUCCAUAGCUGGUCUGAGAGGAUGAUCAGCCACACUGGGACUGAGACACGGCCCAGACUCCUACGGGAAGCCGCAGUGGGGAAUAUUGGACCAUGGGCGAAAGCCUGAUCCAGCCAUGCCGCGUGAGUGAUGCAGGCGUUAGGGUUGUAAAGCUCUUUUACCCGGGAUGAUAAUGACAGUACCGGGAGAAUAAGCUCCGGCUAACUCCGUG
Molecule: ribosomal RNA, 433 nt
Filed under: uncultured bacterium
Lineage: Bacteria
Description: partial 16S ribosomal RNA
Rfam family: Bacterial small subunit ribosomal RNA
Source: RNAcentral